This is a long non-coding RNA of Cornus florida, 1038 nucleotides long. RefSeq lists it as uncharacterized. The record is from RefSeq and is a predicted model, not a curated record. The transcript has 2 exons. NCBI's taxonomy places the organism in Eukaryota, Viridiplantae, Streptophyta, Magnoliopsida, Cornales, Cornaceae.
AUCUGCUUUAUUGAUUUUUCACUCUUGGUUUCAAUUUCUCUUCAAUUCACCUUUUGCUUUGUCGAUUUGUGCAGCUGCAGAAAGUUGAGAAACAGCGGCUAAAGCAUGCGAACGGCGAACCCGGACUGAAAGAUACGGGUUUUGAUUUUUUUGAGCAAUCUGAAAUGAUAUGCCGAUCAUUCAGAACACAACUUAGCUUCAAUAACUAUCUUCCUGACUUGGGCUUCUCUGCUGCUUUUGCAAUCUCAUCAAAAUAGACACUUAAAAUCUCACCCAGGCCUUCUCAAUUCUUAAUUUGUAGGGAUUUCCCUAACAUUCAUUGGGGUCGUCCGGGCUGAAAGAAACCAAUAGAAAGCAAAAUGGCUUGAUCAGCAACAGCAGAGAUAUUGAAACUUCUCCCUGACAGUAUCUACAGAAGAUAGGAAAAAGUCAACUGGAAUUGGACUGAAGCUUUAUUUUCUUUCUCAUAAGCCCUGCUGCAGGCUUUGGCAAGGACCUCCCGAGCCACAGAACAGAAGGCAUCUCCGAUCAGAUGAUCUAGAAUUUGAUUAUUUCUUGUGAUCCGCUUCCGAGCAAAACCCAUACAUACAAGUUAGAAGUUGCAGAGAGAGAGGGGGGCAAGCUUGACGGUUGAGAGAUAGCGGCUGAAGCAUGCCAACGGCGAACCCGAACUGUGGAAACUGAAUUUUGCAGUUGCAGAGAGUUGAGAGACAGCGGCUGAAGCAUGCCAACGGCGAACCCGAUGACGAUUUCUUCUCCUCCGCCUCUUCCGCCUCUUCCUCCUCCUCCGAUGACGUUCCUGCCGACAAGCCUUCGUCACCUUCGCCGCCACCUGCUCUUGAUCAGACUCAAAUCCUUAUAAUAUGGCCUUCAGACGGCAAUCUAACCCUAAAUUGGGUGUCGCGGCCUUUAAUUGGUCCUCCAAGAUGUGUAGUAUCUCAGUAAAUUAGGUAUCGCAGCCUUAGUGUUUUUUAUUUUUGUUUUUUUUUUAACCCUGUGUGAUAUAUAUUAAUAAAAUAUUAAAAGAUGUUUUACUCA